ACCUCUAUUUCUCCUAUUAGUUCAACAGAAAACUAGAGGCUCUAAAGAGCCUGUGUCGCUCACCUUGGUCUAUGUGAAUAUUAAACAAUGGACACAGAUGGAUUCAUGACAAAAUUGUGUUUUGGUGAUGGUGAUGUGUUUGUAGAUCUUACUUUACUAAUCAUUCUUGCUGCUUACAAUUAUCUCUACCUAUAACAGUACUUUCUGUGGAAAAUGUUAUUGAAAAUCUUCAAAUUUUAAGAAAAUUGUUAAAAAUUGACUAUGAAGGGCAAUAACUCCUUAGGGGGUCAAUUGACUAUUUUGGUCAUUGUGACUUAUUUUUAGUUCUUACUUUGCUGUACAUCAUUGCUGUUUACAGUUUAUCUCUAUCUAUAAUAAUAUUCAAGAUAACAAAAAAAA
This 399-nucleotide long non-coding RNA is filed under the name Mytilus galloprovincialis (Mediterranean mussel). The record is from RNAcentral. Lineage: Eukaryota; Metazoa; Mollusca; Bivalvia; Mytilida; Mytilidae.